RNAcentral lists this ribosomal RNA (367 nucleotides) under uncultured organism. RNAcentral's name for it is "bacterial SSU rRNA". It matches the Rfam family "Bacterial small subunit ribosomal RNA", at positions 526 to 896 of the family's 1533-position model. The record is from RNAcentral.
CGGAGGAUCCAAGCGUUAUCCGGAAUCAGUUGGGUUUAAAGGGUCCGUAGGCGGUUUGGUAAGUCAGUGGUGAAAGCCCAUCGCUCAACGGUGGAACGGCCAUUGAUACUGCCAGACUUGAAUUAUUAGGAAGUAACUAGAAUAUGUAGUGUAGCGGUGAAAUGCUUAGAGAUUACAUGGAAUACCAAUUGCGAAGGCAGGUUACUACUAAUGGAUUGACGCUGAUGGACGAAAGCGUGGGUAGCGAACAGGAUUAGAUACCCUGGUAGUCCACGCCGUAAACGAUGGAUACUAGCUGUUGGGAGCAAUCUCAGUGGCUAAGCGAAAGUGAUAAGUAUCCCACCUGGGGAGUACGUUCGCAAGAAUG